UGCAUGGCUGUCGUCAGCUCGUGUCGUGAGGAUGUGGUUAAGUCCCGCAACGAGCGCAACCCUUGCCAUUAGUUGUCAGCGAGUCAUGUCGGAUACUCUAAUGGGACUGCCGGUGACGAGCCGGAGGAAGGUGGGGAUGACGUCAAGUCAGCAUGGCCUUUAUGUCCAGGGCCACACACGUGCUACAAUGGACGGUACAGAGGGACGCAAGACCGCAAGGUGGAGCAAAUCCUCAAAACCGUUCUCAGUUCGGAUUGCAGGCUGCAAUUCGCCUGCAUGAAGCUGGAAUUGCUAGUAAUCGCAGAUCAGCUACGCUGCGGUGAAUACGUUCUCGGGCCUU
Molecule: ribosomal RNA, 340 nt
Filed under: uncultured Aminicenantes bacterium
Lineage: Bacteria; Candidatus Aminicenantota
Description: bacterial SSU rRNA
Rfam family: Bacterial small subunit ribosomal RNA
Source: RNAcentral